AUGUCUGUCUUGCACCAUAUGAUAGUCUCCUGGUCUCACACGAACACAACCACAAACCAGCAAACCAAAGCAACGAAGGUUCAAAGGAACGAAAGCAAAGCGACACAAGACUCGACACAAGGCUCGCAAAUCCUACAUUCUCUCCCCCUUUGGCAUCGAGACACCAAAAAGGCAGAGAGGACACCUACGACACAAGUGGUGGUAGACCUCCAAAGCAUCACCAGUCAUGUUCCUCCUCCUCAGACUCCUCUGCAGCACGGGAUGAAGAGCGAACUCUGGUAUCCUCCUCAGACUCACUCCACUGGUAGUGCUGACGGAUCCAUGGUUCCUCAUCUGUGA
Molecule: ribosomal RNA, 339 nt
Filed under: Triticum aestivum (bread wheat)
Lineage: Eukaryota; Viridiplantae; Streptophyta; Magnoliopsida; Poales; Poaceae
Description: partial small subunit ribosomal RNA
Source: RNAcentral